This is a long non-coding RNA of Aotus nancymaae (Ma's night monkey), 4043 nucleotides long. NCBI's taxonomy places the organism in Eukaryota, Metazoa, Chordata, Mammalia, Primates, Aotidae. The record is from Ensembl.
UUCCUUGUCCGUCCUGCGACCUCUCCUGCUCCAGUGCGAGACCCUCGGCCCUCUCUCUCCAUCUCAGAUCUCUCUUCCUGUCCGUCCGCCGACCUCUCCUGCUCCAGUGGAGACCCUCGGCCCUCUCUCUCCAUUCUCAAGAUCUACGUUCCUAUCUGUUGCAGACCUCUCCUGCUCCAGUGGAAGACCCUCGGCCCGUCUUCUCUCAUCUCAGAUCUCUCUUCCUCAUCCGUCUGCAGACCGUCUGCCUGCUCCAGUGGAGACCCCCGGUUCUCUUGGAAACCAGCCUAACCGCAUUCCCAGCCGUGGAAGCAGAUGUGGGCCCAGCCUGGUCCACCCGAGGUCUUCUAUGUGGAAAGGCCUCCCUUUCCCUCUGUGUCCUCUCCACAUAUCUUUUGGGCCCCUAGCCCCCACGGGUUCUGGGCCCCACAAUCUGGGCCUUGGGUAUCCCUCGGGGCUGUUCCUCCCAUGCAUCUGGCCUCCACCCUAGCGCCUCGGCCUCCCCCUCCCACCCCAGCCUCCACCCCGGCUCCCCUGGUCUCUACCCCAGCACCUCCAACCUCCACCCUCACACCCACAGCUGUCCCCCAAGGCUUUCCGAUCCCUGAGCCAAGCAGCUCCGCCCUGCCUACAAGCCUGGGGCCCAAGUCUAGGAGGAGCAGAGCCCUUCCCCAAGAGGCUGCCGAGCCGGUCACUGAAGCUGGCCAGGGGCCUGGCCCUCAGCUCAGGGGUGUCCUGGGCCAGGUAGUGGCAGCUCGGCUGUUCCCUGACAGCCCGGAGGACCCGCCUCCUCACCUAAAGGGCCCACCUCCACCCGAGGCUGGAUCUCCGAAAGUCAAGACCACACAACCCCAAACCAAGGUGACUCCCCCUCCAUCUGAAUCCCAGCGUCCGGCCAAGGCCAUGCCACCUGCAUCAGGGUCAGUGAUCUGGAAGGCCAAAGCCACUCCUUCCCUUGGAGCAUGGCCACAGCCCGAGGUCCCACCCACUCCAGCAGAGCUGACAUCCACAGUCAGGGCCACGCAGCCUGCCUUCCAGGCUGGGUCUCCGGAGGCCCUGGCCCCGCCCCCACCCGCUGCUCACCAUCGCCCCUCAGAGGCCCUGCUCACCCAGGCAGCCCGGCUGCUGGAGGCUGCAGAAGACUCUGACGGCAGCGAGUUCCAGGAUGAUCCUGUGCUCCAGGUGCUGAGAGCCCAGAGGGCAGAGCUGAGUCGGCAGAAAAGGGAAGCAGACACCCUAUUAUCGUUCCUGUUGAACCAGGCCAAAGACCCGGGAUCUUGGUCUCCUCCAGCCAGGUCGCCCCCCAGGUCCCCAAGGAGGCUGCUGCGAAGGGAAGGCGCUUUCCUGGAUGCCAGACGACUUUGAAUUGUACAGAUUCUGGAUUCUAUUUUAUCCAGAUUCCCGGCUCAAAUGGGACCAAAGGACUGUCCUCUGGGGAAGAAGCUAGUAGGGUCAUCGGAGUGUUGGAUGAUGGUCAGUCUGCAGCCCACACCAGCUUGAGCAGCAGCAGCAUCUAGUACAGCUCACCCCUCCCUCCUUGAAGCACUUUCUCUCCUGCUUCCAGAACUUCCCUGCACCCCUCUGUUCGGGCCUCGUCACUGGCCCAGCGUGUCAACUUUGCCAUGACGCAGAGCCACGGCGCUGACUUCUCUGUCUAUACCCACCCGUAGAUUCUCCUGCCUAGCUUCAUGACUCUAAACCCCAUCUCUAUUCUGAUGGUCCCCAAAUUUCUAUCUGUAACCUAGACCUGGCCAUGGAAUCUUGGGCUCCUACCUCAUCACCAUUUCUACCCAAGGGCUUGAAAGACAUCUCCAAUUCCAUAGGUCCUAAAUGGAGUCAGUCUUUCCCCCUAAGCAUGCCCCUCCCAACUUUCUUCAGCUCUGUCCUUUGCCGUUAGAGUUGCCUUUGACUUCUGUCUUUCCCUUCCACCCACAGUUAACCUGCAAAUCCUGCCAUCUCCAACUUUAUCUUGUUUUAUUUUGAGACAGUUUCACUCAUGUUGCCCGGGCUGGAGUGCAGUGGCGCAAUCUUGGCUCACUUCAACUUCCACCUCCCGGGUUCAAGGGAGUCUCCUACCUCAGCCUUCCGAGUAGCUGGGAUUACAGGUGCCUACCACCACACCUGGCUAAUUUUUUUUUUUUUUUUUGAGAGGAAGUCUCGCUCUGUCACCCAGGCUGGAGUGUAGUGGCUCGAUCUCAGCUCACUGCAACCUCCGCCUCCCAGGUUGAAGCGAUUCUUCUGCCUCAGUCGAAAGGGAGAAGCAGUUGAAUUCUGGAUAGAUUUUAAAGGUGGAGGUCAGGCAUGGUGGCUAACACCUGUAAUCCCAGCACUUUGAAAGGCUGAGGCUGGUGGAUCACCUGAGGUUAGGAGUUCGAGACCAGCCUGGCGAACAUGGUGAAACCCUGUUUCUACUAAAAAUACAAAACAAAAACAAAUUCUGGGCAGGGUGGCUCAUGCCUGUAAUCCCAGUACUUUGGGAGGCUGAGGUGGGCAGAUUACUUGAGUUUAGGAGUUCAAGACCAGCCUGGCCAACGUGGUGAAACCCUGUCUCUACUAAAAAUACAAAAAUUAGCUGGGCAUGGUGGUGGGUGCCUGUAAUCCCAGCUACUCAGGAGGCUGAGGCAGGAGAAUCUCUUGAACUCAGGAGUCAGAGGUUGCAGUGAGCUGAGAUUGCACCACUGCACUCCAGCCUGGGUGACAGAGUGAGACUCCACCUAAAAAAAAAAAUUAAUUUCUCUCUCUCUCUCUCUCUCUCUCUCUCUCUCUGUGUCAGUCUCUGACACUUGCUUUAGAGGCCACAUUAAAAAAACUAGUUGCCAUGCUGGGGAGAGGUUUGGGUUACACAGAUGUAUGCACUUAUCAAACUUAGUGAAGUGUGUGAAUUUCAUUGUACGUAAAGUUUACCUCAACAGAAAAUAUUGAACUCCAGUUAAAGAUAACGCCUGUAAUCCCACUUCUCUGGGAGGCCGAGGCAGGAGGAUCACUUGAGGACAGGAGACCACCCUGGGCAACACAGCAAGACCCCAUCUCUACAAAAAUAAAUAAGUAAAUAAAUAGGUUUGGGGGACAUGUAGUGUAGUCCCAGCUACUCGGGGUGGGGGGGCCGUGCUCAGGUGAGAGGUUCUCUUGAGCCCAGGAGUUAAGGCUGCAUUGUACUGAGCUAAGAUUAGGCCACUGCACUCCAGCCUGAGCUACAGAACUACACCCUGUCUUUAAAAAAAGAAAAGUGCCGGGCGCAGUGGCUCACGCCUGUAAUCCCAGCACUUUGGGAGGCCGAGGCGGGUGGAUCACGAGAUCAAGAGAUCGAGACCAUCCUGGUCAACAUGGUGAAACUCCGUCUCUACCAAAAAUACAAAAAAUUAGCUGGGCAUGGUGGCGCGUGCCUGUAAUCCCAGCUACUCAGGAGGCUGAGGCAGGAGAAUUGCCUGAACCCAGGAGGUGGAGGUCACAGUGAGCCGAGAUCACGCCAUUGUACUCCAGCCUGGGUAACAAGAGCAACUCCGUCUCAAAAAAAAAAAAAAAGAGAAGUAUGUACACUAAAAUAUUUAGGGAGCAAUGUACAAAUGUCUGCAAUGUAUGUUGAAAUGUAUACAGAGAUGAGUUGGGUUGCUAGAUAAAUAGGGUAAUAGGAAGGUGUGAGAUAAUGCAAGUAUAGCAAAAUGUUCAUGACAGAACCUAAGUGGUAGAUAUGUGGGUGUCCACUGUAAAACUUUUCAACUUUGCCGUAUGUUAGAAAUGUUUCAUAAUAAAAUGACGGGGAAUAUAUGACUGGGGUUGUUUGAUAUCUGCUUUUACAAAAUGGAGGGGUAAGAUGGAUUUCUAGUAACUUCUGUAUGGCACAGACAUGGUAAAUAUCUGUUUCCAACCUUUCUUUUUAUUUGGAGACAGAGUCUCUAUCACCCAGGCUGGAGUGCAAUGGUGUGAUCUCGACUCACUGCAACAUCUGCCUCCCAGGUUCAAGCAAUUCUCCUGCUUCAGCCUCCCAAGUAGCUGGGAUUACAGGCACACGCCACCAUGCCCAGCUAAUUUUUUUUGUGUGUGUA